Molecule: ribosomal RNA, 253 nt
Filed under: uncultured bacterium
Lineage: Bacteria
Description: partial 16S ribosomal RNA
Rfam family: Bacterial small subunit ribosomal RNA
Source: RNAcentral
CGUAGGGGCGAGCGUUGUCCGGAAUUAUUGGGCGUAAAGAGCGUGUAGGCGGUUCGGUAAGUCUACUGUGAAAUCCUGGGGCUCAACCCUGGGCGUGCAGUGGAUACUGCCGGGCUAGAGGGUGGUAGAGGCGAGUGGAAUUCCGAGUGUAGCGGUGAAAUGCGCAGAUAUUCGGAGGAACACCAGUAGCGAAGGCGGCUCGCUGGGCCACACCUGACGCUGAGACGCGAAAGCGUGGGGAGCGAACAGGAUU